This is a long non-coding RNA of Apis florea (little honeybee), 624 nucleotides long. The record is from RefSeq and is a predicted model, not a curated record. Lineage: Eukaryota; Metazoa; Arthropoda; Insecta; Hymenoptera; Apidae.
CUCCUCUCACAAAAAUCGAACAAAGGAAAGAAGGAAGAAAACCCUCGUAUCUUGGCCAUACUUUGGCUGGCAACCCCUCGCGUUUCAACGCAUCGAGCGCACGCAGAAGAAAUCGUCCCUUCCUCUUCCGUCCCGCUUCGCCGUCGGUUGGCAAUCGCUCAUUCGGGAUCACGAUCAAACUAAAUCGAUCCUGAACGUAGCACAAAAACUUUUUUCCCCCCAACCAAUUCGGACGUUUCCUCCGCUCGGGGUCUCUUAAUCCUAACAAAUCGAAUUCAACCGUCUCGACGGCACGAGCAUCGUGGAAAAAGAAGCGGGAAACACGAUGAUAGCGGCGAAACGAUGCUGGAGGGAGGAGGAGAAGGAAAAACGGCAGACAGAGAUGCGAAAUAGGAGUUGAGCGCGGAAAAAAAGGAAAUAAUAAAGCCUCGAGUCGAUGCCAGGUGCAUGGACGGCUGGCGUAAGAACGCGUCCAAAAGCAGUGCGUGUCAUUAGAGAGCGUGAAAGACGUGACAAAUGACAGUCUGUCUCGUCUUGAAUGCGCAUUGGCGCCCCCUAUCGUUGCCACUCGUUUGUUUGCGGUCACACAUUGUCGUGUGACGGAGAAAAGAAAGAAAGAUCGGG